Long non-coding RNA from Catharus ustulatus (Swainson's thrush), 339 nucleotides. RefSeq lists it as uncharacterized. The record is from RefSeq and is a predicted model, not a curated record. The transcript has 4 exons. Lineage: Eukaryota; Metazoa; Chordata; Aves; Passeriformes; Turdidae.
AUCAUUGGUUGUUAUGACGAAUGGAGAUUUACCAAAUGCAGAAGUGAGCCCGUACUGCAUAGUGCUGGUGGAGAAGAGCUUUGCUUUGCACUUGAGAUCCCAAAACAUGCUUCUGAAAGACAAUUCCUGUAUCUUCACGGGUAUGUAGAUUUAGACAUAACUUGUCAUAAGUCAAAAAGCAACACAUUGUGGACAAUGAAAUAAAGAACUAACUUGAAAAUCUCUGGACCUAAAACCCCCAUCUGAUUUUGAUUUAAAGAUCCGUUCAUACCUCCAAGGCUUGUAAAGGUUAGAAUUUUCAUCUCAGGAAGAGAGAGUCAAUCAAAAAAAAAGGUAAUG